Molecule: ribosomal RNA, 478 nt
Filed under: uncultured bacterium
Lineage: Bacteria
Description: partial 16S ribosomal RNA
Rfam family: Bacterial small subunit ribosomal RNA
Source: RNAcentral
GACGAACGCUGGCGGCGUGCUUAACACAUGCAAGUCGAACGGUAAGGCCCUUCGGGGUACACGAGUGGCGAACGGGUGAGUAACACGUGGGUGAUCUACCCUGCACUUCGGGAUAAGCCGGGGAAACUGGGUCUAAUACCGGAUAGCACCUCUCCCUGCAUGGGGGGUGGUGGAAAGCUUUUGCGGUGUGGGAUGGGCCCGCGGCCUAUCAGCUUGUUGGUGGGGUGAUGGCCUACCAAGGCGACGACGGGUAGCCGGCCUGAGAGGGUGACCGGCCACACUGGGACUGAGAUACGGCCCAGACUCCUACGGGAGGCAGCAGUGGGGAAUAUUGCACAAUGGGCGCAAGCCUGAUGCAGCGACGCCGCGUGAGGGAUGACGGCCUUCGGGUUGUAAACCUCUUUCAGCACCGACGAAGCGCAAGUGACGGUAGGUGCAGAAGAAGGACCGGCCAACUACGUGCCAGCCGCCGCCGUAA